This 2774-nucleotide ribosomal RNA is filed under the name Escherichia albertii. RNAcentral describes it as "bacterial LSU rRNA". It matches the Rfam family "Bacterial large subunit ribosomal RNA". The record is from RNAcentral. Lineage: Bacteria; Pseudomonadati; Pseudomonadota; Gammaproteobacteria; Enterobacterales; Enterobacteriaceae.
AGCGUACACGGUGGAUGCCCUGGCAGUCAGAGGCGAUGAAGGACGUGCUAAUCUGCGAAAAGCGUCGGUAAGGUGAUAUGAACCGUUAUAACCGGCGAUGUCCGAAUGGGGAAACCCAGUGUGUUUCGACACACUAUCAUUAACUGAAUCCAUAGGUUAAUGAGGCGAACCGGGGGAACUGAAACAUCUAAGUACCCCGAGGAAAAGAAAUCAACCGAGAUUCCCCCAGUAGCGGCGAGCGAACGGGGAGGAGCCCAGAGCCUGAAUCAGUGUGUGUGUUAGUGGAAGCGUCUGGAAAGGCGCGCGAUACAGGGUGACAGCCCCGUACACAAAAAUGCACAUGCUGUGAGCUCGAUGAGUAGGGCGGGACACGUGGUAUCCUGUCUGAAUAUGGGGGGACCAUCCUCCAAGGCUAAAUACUCCUGACUGACCGAUAGUGAACCAGUACCGUGAGGGAAAGGCGAAAAGAACCCCGGCGAGGGGAGUGAAAAAGAACCUGAAACCGUGUACGUACAAGCAGUGGGAGCCCUGAUUUAUCAGGGUGACUGCGUACCUUUUGUAUAAUGGGUCAGCGACUUAUAUUCUGUAGCAAGGUUAACCGAAUAGGGGAGCCGGAGGGAAACCGAGUCUUAACUGGGCGUUAAGUUGCAGGGUAUAGACCCGAAACCCGGUGAUCUAGCCAUGGGCAGGUUGAAGGUUGGGUAACACUAACUGGAGGACCGAACCGACUAAUGUUGAAAAAUUAGCGGAUGACUUGUGGCUGGGGGUGAAAGGCCAAUCAAACCGGGAGAUAGCUGGUUCUCCCCGAAAGCUAUUUAGGUAGCGCCUCGUGAAUUCAUCUCCGGGGGUAGAGCACUGUUUCGGCAAGGGGGUCAUCCCGACUUACCAACCCGAUGCAAACUGCGAAUACCGGAGAAUGUUAUCACGGGAGACACACGGCGGGUGCUAACGUCCGUCGUGAAGAGGGAAACAACCCAGACCGCCAGCUAAGGUCCCAAAGUCAUGGUUAAGUGGGAAACGAUGUGGGAAGGCCCAGACAGCCAGGAUGUUGGCUUAGAAGCAGCCAUCAUUUAAAGAAAGCGUAAUAGCUCACUGGUCGAGUCGGCCUGCGCGGAAGAUGUAACGGGGCUAAACCAUGCACCGAAGCUGCGGCAGCGACACUGUGUGUUGUUGGGUAGGGGAGCGUUCUGUAAGCCUGCGAAGGUGUGCUGUGAGGUAUGCUGGAGGUAUCAGAAGUGCGAAUGCUGACAUAAGUAACGAUAAAGCGGGUGAAAAGCCCGCUCGCCGGAAGACCAAGGGUUCCUGUCCAACGUUAAUCGGGGCAGGGUGAGUCGACCCCUAAGGCGAGGCCGAAAGGCGUAGUCGAUGGGAAACAGGUUAAUAUUCCUGUACUUGGUGUUACUGCGAAGGGGGGACGGAGAAGGCUAUGUUGGCCGGGCGACGGUUGUCCCGGUUUAAGCGUGUAGGCUGGUUUUCCAGGCAAAUCCGGAAAAUCAAGGCUGAGGCGUGAUGACGAGGCACUACGGUGCUGAAGCGACAAAUGCCCUGCUUCCAGGAAAAGCCUCUAAGCAUCAGGUAACAUCAAAUCGUACCCCAAACCGACACAGGUGGUCAGGUAGAGAAUACCAAGGCGCUUGAGAGAACUCGGGUGAAGGAACUAGGCAAAAUGGUGCCGUAACUUCGGGAGAAGGCACGCUGAUAUGUAGGUGAAGCGACUUGCUCGUGGAGCUGAAAUCAGUCGAAGAUACCAGCUGGCUGCAACUGUUUAUUAAAAACACAGCACUGUGCAAACACGAAAGUGGACGUAUACGGUGUGACGCCUGCCCGGUGCCGGAAGGUUAAUUGAUGGGGUCAGCGCAAGCGAAGCUCUUGAUCGAAGCCCCGGUAAACGGCGGCCGUAACUAUAACGGUCCUAAGGUAGCGAAAUUCCUUGUCGGGUAAGUUCCGACCUGCACGAAUGGCGUAAUGAUGGCCAGGCUGUCUCCACCCGAGACUCAGUGAAAUUGAACUCGCUGUGAAGAUGCAGUGUACCCGCGGCAAGACGGAAAGACCCCGUGAACCUUUACUAUAGCUUGACACUGAACACUGGUCCUUGAUGUGUAGGAUAGGUGGGAGGCUUUGAAGUGUGGACGCCAGUCUGCAUGGAGCCGUCCUUGAAAUACCACCCUUUAAUGGCUGGUGUUCUAACGUGGGCCCGUAAUCCGGGUUGCGGACAGUGUCUGGUGGGUAGUUUGACUGGGGCGGUCUCCUCCUAAAGAGUAACGGAGGAGCACGAAGGUUGGCUAAUCCUGGUCGGACAUCAGGAGGUUAGUGCAAUGGCAUAAGCCAGCUUGACUGCGAGCGUGACGGCGCGAGCAGGUGCGAAAGCAGGUCAUAGUGAUCCGGUGGUUCUGAAUGGAAGGGCCAUCGCUCAACGGAUAAAAGGUACUCCGGGGAUAACAGGCUGAUACCGCCCAAGAGUUCAUAUCGACGGCGGUGUUUGGCACCUCGAUGUCGGCUCAUCACAUCCUGGGGCUGAAGUAGGUCCCAAGGGUAUGGCUGUUCGCCAUUUAAAGUGGUACGCGAGCUGGGUUUAGAACGUCGUGAGACAGUUCGGUCCCUAUCUGCCGUGGGCGCUGGAGAACUGAGGGGGGCUGCUCCUAGUACGAGAGGACCGGAGUGGACGCAUCACUGGUGUUCGGGUUGUCAUGCCAAUGGCACUGCCCGGUAGCUAAAUGCGGAAGAGAUAAGUGCUGAAAGCAUCUAAGCACGAAACUUGCCCCGAGAUGAGUUCU